GACCCACGACACAGACGGUCUCGCCUCCGUCCUAUCCUCCUCUCGCCUCCGUCGUCUUACUCCUCCUUUCCCUGUCUCUGGAAUCCUAGAGUCAUCUUCCUCACAUGCAAGGCUAUGGCCCUCUCAAUUGAAACCAAAACGUGUCUCAGUUUUUUAUUUUUAUGGCAGUUCUGAGGAAGAGCACGAAAAAGGAAGAACCAGUAUUAGAAGGUCUUCUCAAACAGUACUUCGAUGAUUCUAAGCCAUGAAGGAUUUGAUAAACCCACAAUUGAUAACAAUGUACGGCGCCACCAAUAAUUUUGGACAAGGAACAAGUUUCAUAAUUUUCACAGGGGAUACUCACCUGCUUACCCUAUGGGCACGGGCGCCGGUGGGCUCGGCCCUUCUAUCUCCUCCAACCGCAGUUUUAAGUAGCAUAAUAACAAUGCACAUGGAGGACAAUCCAGAGCCAGUGUAGCCACUAUAAACACUAAGGAUUCCAGUAUUGCUUCUGCGCAACACGGCGGUGUACAAAAUGGAGCCCGUGUACAGCCCCAAUUACAUGGAGGUUCUGAUACACCCGUUGCAAGCAUGCUUCCCAGACAGCUGAAGCUUCAGCCUCCCAGAGAAGCUCCCGAACUGUUCCAAAGGCUCCAACUUCUCAAGAACACCCACUACGCUAGCGAAGGGAGAUGCGUUCAAGGGCUUUGCCUUUUAGUUUGGGUGUAUAAGCCUUGGUUUCAUGAAUGGGAUGCAGAAUUAUUGACGAGAGUACCAAAAAAGCAGCGGUUGUGGAUCCAGUUGAACCUGAGAAGGUUCUGAAAGCAGCCCAAGAACAUGGCUUCAGUAUCAAGCUCAUCCUCACCACUCACCAUUACUGGUGUAUUUAGACUUCCUCAUCCAAUCCCUCAUAUUCAUACUGAUAUAAUAUAUAUAUAUAUAUAUAUAUAUAUAUAUAUAUAUUUGUUUUGGGUAUUUUAGUACUUUCCAGAAAUGGAUUUAUGGGGAUUUAUAUCUUAGUUGGGUACAUGAUGCGGAUUCAUAUUCAAGGAAAAAUGAUCCCGACUCUUAAGGUCUCUUUCUUGCGUCGAUUGAUCGUCUUGCUAUGAUUUUGAGUUGUUGCAAUUAGAUCUUGAAAUUGUAUUGUACGAUUUAAUUAGUAUAGUGGUCCUCACAAAUCACCACCAAUGUAGCACCUAAUUAAUCGUAUUCAAUGUUGUGGUCUGAAAAGAAGCACUAAUUAAGGGAGUAAUAUUUAAGGUUGGAGAUAAAAGAUUCGCUAUAGCUGAUAGCUCUAGAUGUGUAAUUAAGGUAAGGAAUAUAUUUUGACUGAUGCAACUGCAUGCUCUUAUGGAUUUCCCCCAAAGAUUGGAUUUUCAGUUUUUGGGAAUGUUAACAAUUUAGUUUUUUGAUCUUUUCUUGAAAGGAUAUGAAAUUGUUUAUAGUUAGGUUGAAAACCAUAUCAAUAGAUUCUUUAUUUGGUUGGUCCAAUCUGUAACAGAUGAGAUUGUUUUGUUUGAUGUUUCAAUCAAAAUUUGAUCUUUUUUUUUUGUGUGAAAUUAUAAUGGAAUCACAAAUCAAGUAUGUCUUAGAUUCUUGGUUGCAUACUCACCUUCCCACGACUAUUAUAUUGUCUAUUGACUGGAUGCUUUUUUAUAAUUUCUAGGAUCUACGGUUGCAAUGCUUUUGAUACAUGCAGUAAGGAGGAAGCCACUACCUCUUAUGGAGCUUCUUUGGCAUGGUAAGUUGAAGUUGCAUGUCAUUUUUUUUUUUCGUUCAUGGAAUUCAUUAUCUUGCUAUCUUGGCAAUUAGCAAUGUCUGACGAUUGGUAAAAUGUUAAUAAAUUUGUUGAAGUUUGAAUCGUACACAUGAAAGUGAAUUUUAACAACUCUAACUUAGAUUUCUUAAUAAUUUGAUCCGUCUUUCUUUCAUUUGUUUUCGACUAUUUUACUUUUUUUCUAUACAAGUACAACUAUUGAUCGAAAGCCACAGAAAAUACCCAACGGCUGAGAAACUGUUUUUGUUACAAGAAUAGAUUGAUUAUGAUAAUGCUUAAAUUUUGGGCAGUUAAAUAUAUGUGUUUUGUUUGGCAAUUACAAUCACUUGCAUGAAAAUCCAAUUGGAUUUGUUCUGGUCUCCAAGAAUUUUUCUUUGAUUAUUGAUUAAUUUAUGUGGCAUGAGUUUAGGUUUUGCUUUUCUGCCCAUGUAUAUUUGAUUUGAAAUGGACAGCUCAAUUUGCUGUAUAUAAAUUAGUAAUCAAAAAACUCCAAGGAGAGGUAAAUUAGAAACAAUGGUGGAAGAGUGAUGGAGUUGAGGAGUCGAUAGUUUACCGGGUUUACUUGAAUUUCUGAUUGAUGUCCAUGGUAUUGAUAGAUCAUUGAGACUGACUGAUUGGUUGAUUAAUCACUAAUUUGAAAUACUUAAAUUGUAACAUUCUUUAAUUCCUUUUCGUUUUGUAUUUUCAUUGGAUUCGAAAAAUGAAACGAAUCCAAUCAACUACUCAGCCUUCGAAUAUGUUUACAUCUUAUUGCUAACUUUAAAUAUGUUAAUUUGUCCCCGUUUCUAUAAAAUUUUGUGCGAUGUGAACAAUGUGGGUUAUUCUCAAUCUUCUGAUGGUGAUUAUUUGGCAACUUCUGCAAACAUGGCUACUCAGCCUUUGAAAUACAGAGCUGAGGAUGAGAGCAGUCAGAUGAGCUAGAAUUGGGUUUGUAUCAUUCUAAAUUAUUCGUUUGGUUACCGAUAGAAAAUAUGGUUGUCGAGUUCAGUUUUUUAUUUUCAUCAUCUUAAACAUUUUCCUUUGA
This is an RNA transcript of Pyrus x bretschneideri (Chinese white pear), 2780 nucleotides long. RefSeq lists it as uncharacterized. The record is from RefSeq and is a predicted model, not a curated record. The transcript is spliced from 8 exons. Lineage: Eukaryota; Viridiplantae; Streptophyta; Magnoliopsida; Rosales; Rosaceae.